GACCAAGAAAUUAAGUCAUAUAUAUGUGGUAAAAAGACAGUUAGACAUAUAGGUUUGUUUUGGUUACUUAAUGUUUCAUAUAGGAGUAAAAUCUAAGUGUGAAUUGUAAAAUUUAUAAGUGGCUUCGAAGUUGAAUCUGUGAAAUCUUUAAGGGAAACUGGGAUUAGGUACCCCAUUAUUUCUGGAUGUAAAUCGAUAAGAAUUUACCAGAGUACUAUGAAUACUUAAAAAUUUAAAACUCAAAGAACUUGGCGGUGUUUUAGACCACCCAGGGGAACCUGUCUCGUAAUCGAUAAUCCACGUUGCACCUGACCUCUUUUUGUUUUCAGUUUGUAUACCGUUGUCGUCAGGUAACUUUUUAGAAAUUAGAAGUUAGCAACUAAAAUAUUAGUGAUUUAGUAUGUCAAAUCAAGGUGCAGCUAAUAGAGAGGGGAGGAUGGGUUACAAUUAUAUUAUAAUUUAUAAUGACGGACAGAUGUAUGGAUAUACGUUAAGUUAUAAGGAGGACUUGGAAGUAAAUUAGAAUAUAUAAAUAAUUUGAAUUAGGCUCUGAAACGUGU
Molecule: ribosomal RNA, 560 nt
Filed under: Myurella mindanaoensis
Lineage: Eukaryota; Metazoa; Mollusca; Gastropoda; Neogastropoda; Terebridae
Description: Hastulopsis mindanaoensis partial 12S ribosomal RNA
Source: RNAcentral